AAUAGAUACCCGGGUAGUCCACGCCGUAAACGAUGAGUGCUAAGUGUUGGGGGGGUUUCCGCCCCUCAGUGCUGCAGCUAACGCAUUAAGCACUCCGCCUGGGGAGUACGGUCGCAAGACUGAAACUCAAAGGAAUUGACGGGAGCCCGCACAAGCGGUGGAGCAUGUGGUUUAAUUCGAAGCAACGCGAAGAACCUUACCAGGUCUUGACAUCCCGGUGACCACUAUGGAGACAUAGUUUCCCCUUCGGGGGCAACGGUGACAGGUGGUGCAUGGUUGUCGUCAGCUCGUGUCGUGAGAUGUUGGGUUAAGUCCCGCAACGAGCGCAACCCUUAUUCUUAGUUGCCAUCAUUCAGUUGGGCACUCUAAGGAGACUGCCGGUGAUAAACCGGAGGAAGGUGGGGAUGACGUCAAAUCAUCAUGCCCCUUAUGACCUGGGCUACACACGUGCUACAAUGGACGGUACAAACGGUUGCCAACCCGCGAGGGGGAGCUAAUCCGAUAAAACCGUUCUCAGUUCGGAUUGUAGGCUGCAACUCGCCUAC
Molecule: ribosomal RNA, 545 nt
Filed under: uncultured bacterium
Lineage: Bacteria
Description: bacterial SSU rRNA
Rfam family: Bacterial small subunit ribosomal RNA
Source: RNAcentral